This is a long non-coding RNA of Gopherus evgoodei (Goodes thornscrub tortoise), 137 nucleotides long. RefSeq lists it as uncharacterized. Lineage: Eukaryota; Metazoa; Chordata; Testudines; Testudinidae. The record is from RefSeq and is a predicted model, not a curated record. The transcript has 3 exons.
GUCGCGGGGAUGGAGUCCAGCCCUGAGGUGAGAUGGAAAGUGAUCAAGAGCAGUGACAGCGUGAAUCCUGUUGAUGCCAGGCAAGAGCUGCCCAACUGGGACAAGAGUAACCGUCUCUGUCGAAAUUUGUAAUGAAG